GUCUGCUGCUGGAGGCUACUAGCGUGUGCUUUUCACUCAUCGAGGUGGCCGGCUCGCCCCUACCUCGGGGAAUAUGUGCCUUAAUCCAAUGAUACCCGAUAUAUCUUACUCCGCCUUGAAAAUGAACCUGUGGUGUAUUGCCCCUGUCACCUUGUUGUCGAGCAAAACCUAACUUGCUUAAUGGAACUAUCAAUAAGUUAAUAACGUCCGUGAAUUCACGUCUAAAUGCUGCCCAUGGUGCCAGGGAGUAGGCAUUACCUGUUAAAUUUAAAAUACGGAUCUCAUUUAUCUGUGAAAUCUCUGAGAGAAGGUGGACUUCCGAGUAAGGGGGGAUUAAUAUGCCCCCCUGAACGUGAAUCUAACUUGUGUACAAACCGCCCGUCGCUCUCCCCGGAAGGGGAGAUAAGU
Molecule: ribosomal RNA, 408 nt
Filed under: Caribachlamys mildredae
Lineage: Eukaryota; Metazoa; Mollusca; Bivalvia; Pectinida; Pectinidae
Description: partial 12S ribosomal RNA
Source: RNAcentral